Molecule: transfer RNA, 96 nt
Filed under: Ipomoea nil (Japanese morning glory)
Lineage: Eukaryota; Viridiplantae; Streptophyta; Magnoliopsida; Solanales; Convolvulaceae
Rfam family: tRNA
About the family: Transfer RNA (tRNA) molecules are approximately 80 nucleotides in length.
Source: Rfam by way of RNAcentral
CCGACCUUAGCUCAGGUUAGUAGAGCGGACGACUUGUAGUUUGAUUAAUCUAAAUUGGAAAUCCUUAGGUCGCUGGUUCGAAUCCGGCAGGUCGGA